RNAcentral lists this ribosomal RNA (765 nucleotides) under Triticum aestivum (bread wheat). RNAcentral describes it as "partial small subunit ribosomal RNA". The record is from RNAcentral. Lineage: Eukaryota; Viridiplantae; Streptophyta; Magnoliopsida; Poales; Poaceae.
AUGGUCGCCUCCUCCGCGUCCUCCGCGGCGGCCGCGGCCGCGGAUUACACGCGCCGGGGCGAGGCCUUCGGGGCCGACCUGGCCGCCGCCGCCAGGACCGCCGUCGACACCGCCCACGCGCACGCCUACUCCUCCGCCGUCGCCGCGUCCGACGCCGCCAACGCGGCCAUGGCCGGCGCGCUCGCCGCCGUCCCCACCCUCACCCAGGCCGCAAAGGAAGAGCUGGAAUGGGUGAAGAAGGAGUACUUUGCUCGUGAGCAGAUGGCGCUGGGCAAGAUCAAAGAGGGUGUCAUCAUGGCCAUCGAGCAUCCGGGCAUCGCUGCGGGCUCAGCUACGGUUGCAGGAAUCGUGCUGCUCAAAAGGCCAAGGAGCUACCUAAUCCAACGUGUACGGCGUGUAUUUGUCAGCAAGGAGACCCUACUUUCUGGCAUCCAGGCUGAAGUGAAUCACAUGCGGCAAACAGUGAAUCUUAUGUCGAAUGAAAGCCAAAAACUGAUGGAUCGAGCUGCAACAGCAGAAAAGAGAUUCCAGAAAGGGUGGAAUACACUCAGGGAAGAAGGGCGUGCCAUUCAAAGUGAGUUAAAGCAAAUCAGUGAUAUUGAAAACCAAGCAGUAGGUCUCAAGGGAAUUCUCGAUCAGCUUCCAAGAGCACAUGCAUCGGAAUUUCGAUCAGAGAUUUCCGGCCUAGCCUCUCAGGUCAAGAAGGAGAAGCGUGUGCUCAACUCCGCCCUGACGAAGAUUGUGAAUUAUGGCGUCCCUAUCUAA